This 444-nucleotide ribosomal RNA is filed under the name uncultured bacterium. RNAcentral describes it as "SSU rRNA". It matches the Rfam family "Bacterial small subunit ribosomal RNA", at positions 26 to 518 of the family's 1533-position model. The record is from RNAcentral.
AGGACGAACGCUGGCGGCAUGCCUAACACAUGCAAGUCGAACGAGACCUUCGGGUCUAGUGGCGCACGGGUGCGUAACGCGUGGGAAUCUGCCCUUAGGUUCGGAAUAACAGUUAGAAAUGACUGCUAAUACCGGAUAAUGACGUAAGUCCAAAGAUUUAUCGCCUAGGGAUGAGCCCGCGUAAGAUUAGCUAGUUGGUGGGGUAAAGGCCUACCAAGGCUACGAUCUUUAGCUGGUCUGAGAGGAUGAUCAGCCACACUGGGACUGAGACACGGCCCAGACUCCUACGGGAGGCAGCAGUGGGGAAUAUUGGACAAUGGGCGAAAGCCUGAUCCAGCAAUGCCGCGUGAGUGAUGAAGGCCUUAGGGUUGUAAAGCUCUUUACCCGGGAUGAUAAUGACAGUACCGGGAGAAUAAGCUCGGCUAACUCCGUGCUAGCAGCCGC